RNAcentral lists this Y RNA (96 nucleotides) under Chinchilla lanigera (long-tailed chinchilla). RNAcentral's name for it is "Y RNA (ENSCLAG00000020079.1)". It matches the Rfam family "Y RNA". From Rfam's summary of the family: Y RNAs are components of the Ro ribonucleoprotein particle (Ro RNP), in association with Ro60 and La proteins. The record is from Rfam by way of RNAcentral. Lineage: Eukaryota; Metazoa; Chordata; Mammalia; Rodentia; Chinchillidae.
GACUGGUCCAAGUGCUUGUGUUUACAGCUAAUUGAUCAUAGCCAGUUACAGAUUUCUUUAUUCCUUCUCUUCUCCCACGGCUUCACUUGACUUAAA